CUGGCGGCGUGCCUAACACAUGCAAGUCGAACGAGAAUCUACUAUGAAAUUUCGGAUGGAUUAGGUAGAGGAAAGUGGCGAACGGGUGAGUAACGCGUGAGCAAUCUGCCUUGUACUGGGGGAUAACGUCGGGAAACCGGCGCUAAUACCGCAUAAUACUAUGAGAUCGCAUGGUCAUAUAGUCAAAACUCCGGUGGUACAAGAUGAGCUCGCGUCCAAUUAGCUAGUUGGUGGGGUAAUGGCCCACCAAGGCGACGAUUGGUAGCCGAACUGAGAGGUUGAUCGGCCACAUUGGGACUGAGACACGGCCCAGACUCCUACGGGAGGCAGCAGUGGGGAAUAUUGCGCAAUGGAGGGAACUCCUGACGCAGCAACGCCGCGUGAAGGAUGAAGGUUUUCGGAUUGUAAACUUCUUUGAUCGGGGACGAAAUUGACGGUACCUAAUGAGAAAGCCACGGCUAACUACGUGCCAGCAGCAGC
This 480-nucleotide ribosomal RNA is filed under the name uncultured bacterium. Its description in RNAcentral is "bacterial SSU rRNA". It matches the Rfam family "Bacterial small subunit ribosomal RNA", at positions 36 to 518 of the family's 1533-position model. The record is from RNAcentral.